CGCAACCUUAAUUUUUAUGAAAAAUACCGAACUCUACUAAAAACAUCAAAUAUUAAAUCUACGUGUCAAAACAAAAUCAACUACACUCAUAUUGACUACUUUUGGUUCGGGGUCAAAAUGGACCCCAAAAUAGUUUUCCGAAAAAGAAGGGCGAAUUGGAACUUUACUUCAAAAAUAUGUUCCCCAAAUUUUUAGGAACC
RNAcentral lists this long non-coding RNA (200 nucleotides) under Capsicum annuum. RNAcentral's name for it is "long non-coding RNA (CANN_LNC010472)". Lineage: Eukaryota; Viridiplantae; Streptophyta; Magnoliopsida; Solanales; Solanaceae. The record is from RNAcentral.